Non-coding RNA from Pogona vitticeps (central bearded dragon), 266 nucleotides. The record is from RefSeq and is a predicted model, not a curated record. NCBI's taxonomy places the organism in Eukaryota, Metazoa, Chordata, Lepidosauria, Squamata, Agamidae.
UGACAACCGGGUUUCAAGGGAGCCAACUGGGACCAGGGGAGGGGAGGCAAGGGAAGUGAGCAUCAGGCAAAGGCUAUGUUUUGCAAUUGGACCGUGGAAGGUAAACAAGGGCUUCAUUUUGACAUCUGUUUAGCCAGCCUUACAUCUCUGAUGGAAAUGCGUGAAAAGAAAAACAAAAAAGGAGCAUUGACAGAUUGAGGUACCGUGUGUUGAUCGAAAUGCUCUCAGGCACCUCCACCAGCUCUCGGCGUGUACAGAUGACCCGG